Molecule: ribosomal RNA, 253 nt
Filed under: uncultured bacterium
Lineage: Bacteria
Description: partial 16S ribosomal RNA
Rfam family: Bacterial small subunit ribosomal RNA
Source: RNAcentral
AACGUAGGAGACAAACGUUAUCCGGAGUUACUGGGCGUAAAGGGCGUGUAGGUGGUAAUGUAAGUCUGGCGUGAAAUUUUUCGGCUUAACCGGGAAAGGUCGUCGGAUACUGCAUGACUAGAGGACGGUAGAGGCGUGUGGAAUUCCGGGUGGAGCGGUGAAAUGCGUAGAGAUCCGGAGGAACACCGACGGCGCAGGCAGCGUCCUGGCCGCUUGCUGACACUGAGGCACGAAAGCUGGGGAAGCAAACAGG